Molecule: ribosomal RNA, 254 nt
Filed under: uncultured bacterium
Lineage: Bacteria
Description: partial 16S ribosomal RNA
Rfam family: Bacterial small subunit ribosomal RNA
Source: RNAcentral
UACGAAGGGGGCUAGCGUUGUUCGGAAUUACUGGGCGUAAAGCGCGCGUAGGCGGUUUGGUAAGUUAGAGGUGAAAGCCCGGAGCUCAACUCCGGAAUGGCCUUUAAGACUGCCAGACUUCGAGGCCGUGAGAGGUGAGUGGAAUUCCCAGUGUAGAGGUGAAAUUCGUAGAUAUUGGGAAGAACACCAGUGGCGAAGGCGGCUCACUGGCACGGUUCUGACGCUGAGGCGCGAAAGCGUGGGGAGCAAACAGG